Molecule: transfer RNA, 65 nt
Filed under: Megaginus tataupensis
Lineage: Eukaryota; Metazoa; Arthropoda; Insecta; Psocodea; Heptapsogasteridae
Description: tRNA-Thr
Source: RNAcentral
GUCUUUUAGUUUAUUCAAAACGGUAAUUUUGUAAAUUAUAAUUAGAGUUCUUCUCUCUAUGGACC